GGGUGCUUAGCUCAGUUGGUGAGAGCCACGGCCUUAUAAGCCGUAAUCCCUAACAAGGUAAACGUGGGUUCGAAUCCCACAACACCCA
RNAcentral lists this transfer RNA (88 nucleotides) under Clostridium sp. RNAcentral describes it as "tRNA-Ile". It matches the Rfam family "tRNA". From Rfam's summary of the family: Transfer RNA (tRNA) molecules are approximately 80 nucleotides in length. Their secondary structure includes four short double-helical elements and three loops (D, anti-codon, and T loops). Lineage: Bacteria; Bacillati; Bacillota; Clostridia; Eubacteriales; Clostridiaceae. The record is from RNAcentral.